CUUCACUUUGGCAUCAUCAUCCUGUCACAAAAAAAAAUGAGAACGUGGUUAUGUAAAUCGCAACGCCAAUUGUUGAACAUCAUGAAAUUGGCCCCUACAGUUUUCACGAUGCUAAGCUUUGAAACUCAUAUUAAGCAUCAAAACAAAGAGGGCGGAACUACAGUUAAACAAUUCCAAGUCUGUGAAGCCUAAUUCACUUCACAUUUUACAGAUGAAGUCCUCUUCUGUAUUUGAGAAACUGUGCACUCCAUCCUUACUGUCUAAAUUGGCAGUACUAUGUCAUGUGCAGCAUGACACCUAUAACUUUUGUUAUAUUUCUUAUAAGCACCAUGUCUGGAAGACUAAUUACUUCAUCUAUCAGAGGUUUACGAUCUGGUUGCCUACCUGCCGAAAGGCACAAAGGACCUACAACUACACAGCUUGCAUCUCGCCGGUGCAAUCUAUUACUUCAACCUUAAAAAAAAGCAUGCCUAGAUUUUACAUACAUGUAGAUGUAGUCAUAUUUAUACAUAUACAUAAUGAAAAACAGACCUCAAGGGACAAACUACACAUUGUACCUUAUUCUGUUGCUUCAGAUUUC
RNAcentral lists this unclassified non-coding RNA (580 nucleotides) under Zea mays. RNAcentral describes it as "misc RNA Zm00001eb241590". The record is from RNAcentral. Lineage: Eukaryota; Viridiplantae; Streptophyta; Magnoliopsida; Poales; Poaceae.